RNAcentral lists this ribosomal RNA (250 nucleotides) under uncultured bacterium. Its description in RNAcentral is "partial 16S ribosomal RNA". It matches the Rfam family "Archaeal small subunit ribosomal RNA", at positions 339 to 592 of the family's 1478-position model. The record is from RNAcentral.
GCGCGAAAACUUUACAAUGCACGAAAGUGUGAUAGGGGAACUCAGCGUGCUUAUGUUAAACAUAGGCUUUUCUACAGGGUAAAUACCUGUGGGAAUAAAGGAUGGGCAAGACCGGUGCCAGCAGCCGCGGUAACACCGGCGUCCUUAGUGGGAAUCACUUAUUAGGUCUAAAGCGCUCGUAGUCGGCUUUGUAAAUUUCUUGUGAAAUCGUGUCGCUUAACGGCACGGCGUGCAGGAAACACUGCAGAGC